UGGGGAAUAUUGCACAAUGGGGGAAACCCUGAUGCAGCCAUGCCGCGUGUGUGAAGAAGGCCUUCGGGUUGUAAAGCACUUUCAGUAGUAAGGAAAGGUAAGUGAUUAAUACUCGCUUACUGUGACGUUAGCUACAGAAGAAGCACCGGCUAACUCCGUGCCAGCAGCCGCGGUAAUACGGAGGGUGCAAGCGUUAAUCGGAAUAACUGGGCGUAAAGCGCACGCAGGCGGUUUGUUAAGCCAGAUGUGAAAGCCCGGGGCUCAACCUCGGAACUGCAUUUGGAACUGGCAGACUAGAGUCUUGUAGAGGGGGGUAGAAUUUCCAGUGUAGCGGUGAAAUGCGUAGAGAUUGGAAGGAAUACCAGUGGCGAAGGCGGCCCCCUGGACAAAGACUGACGCUCAGGUGCGAAAGCGUGGGGAGCAAACAGG
Molecule: ribosomal RNA, 429 nt
Filed under: uncultured bacterium
Lineage: Bacteria
Description: bacterial SSU rRNA
Rfam family: Bacterial small subunit ribosomal RNA
Source: RNAcentral